GAUCCUGGCUCAGAUUGAACGCUGGCGGCAUGCCUUACACAUGCAAGUCGAACGGCAGCGGACCUUCGGGUGCCGGCGAGUGGCGAACGGGUGAGUAAUAUAUCGGAACGUACCUUCAGUGGGGGAUAACGUAGCGAAAGUUACGCUAAUACCGCAUAUUCUGUGAGCAGGAAAGCAGGGGAUCGCAAGACCUUGCGCUGAUUGAGCGGCCGAUAUCAGAUUAGCUAGUUGGUGAGGUAAAGGCUCACCAAGGCGACGAUCUGUAGCGGGUCUGAGAGGAUGAUCCGCCACACUGGAACUGAGACACGGUCCAGACUCCUACGGGAGGCAGCAGUGGGGAAUUUUGGACAAUGGGCGCAAGCCUGAUCCAGCCAUGCCGCGUGCGGGACGAAGGCCUUCGGGUUGUAAACCGCUUUCAGCCGGAAAGAAAUCGCCGUUUUUAAUACAGACGGUGGAUGACGGUACCGGAAGAAGAAGCACCGGCUAACUACGUG
RNAcentral lists this ribosomal RNA (494 nucleotides) under uncultured bacterium. RNAcentral describes it as "bacterial SSU rRNA". It matches the Rfam family "Bacterial small subunit ribosomal RNA", at positions 15 to 507 of the family's 1533-position model. The record is from RNAcentral.